RNAcentral lists this ribosomal RNA (101 nucleotides) under Ovis aries (sheep). Lineage: Eukaryota; Metazoa; Chordata; Mammalia; Artiodactyla; Bovidae. The record is from RNAcentral.
AUCUACGGCCAUACCACCUGAACGUGCCCUGAUCUCAGAAGCUAAAUAGGGUUGGGCCUGGUUAGUAACUUGGGUGGGAGAAAGUGGGCCAACCAUAUAUU